This 4187-nucleotide small RNA is filed under the name Pan troglodytes (chimpanzee). RNAcentral describes it as "retained intron". The record is from RNAcentral. Lineage: Eukaryota; Metazoa; Chordata; Mammalia; Primates; Hominidae.
AUUGGCCGGGUCACAAGCCCGCCCGCCCGCUGCUGGAGCCGCGACCAUGGAGGAGUCUGGCAUGGCUCAUGAAUCAGCAGAGGACUUGUUUCAUUUCAACGUAGGGGGCUGGCAUUUCUCAGUUCCCAGAAGCAAACUCUCUCAGUUUCCAGACUCCCUGCUGUGGAAAGAGGCUUCAGCCUUGACCUCUUCAGAAAGCCAGAGGCUAUUUAUCGACAGAGAUGGUUCCACAUUUAGGCACGUGCACUAUUACCUCUACACCUCCAAACUCUCCUUCUCCAGUUGUGCAGAACUGAACUUGCUGUAUGAGCAAGCAUUGGGUUUGCAGCUGAUGCCUUUGCUGCAGACUCUAGAUAACCUGAAGGAAGGGAAACACCAUCUACGCGUGCGGCCUGCAGACCUACCUGUUGCUGAGAGAGCAUCUCUGAACUACUGGCGUACAUGGAAGUGUAUUAGCAAACCCUCAGAAUUUCCAAUUAAAAGCCCAGCCUUCACAGGCCUACAUGAUAAGGCACCUCUGGGGCUCAUGGACACACCCCUGUUAGACACAGAAGAGGAGGUGCACUACUGCUUCCUGCCCCUAGACCUGGUGGCCAAAUAUCCCAGCCUAGUGACUGAAGACAACCUGCUGUGGCUGGCUGAGACAGUGGCCCUCAUCGAGUGCGAGUGCAGCGAGUUCCGCUUCAUUGGUGAUUGCUCUGUCCGGGGUGGGGUGGGGGGCGGGCGGAUAGGGCCCAUUCACCCCUCCCCAUCACAUGUCCCACAGAGGCCCAGCUUGGUGCUCAGGGCCUCAGGAGCUUCCCUGGGCAGAGGUAGCGGAAGCAUGACAGAGCUUUCCAGGAAGCAAGCAGAUUCCAGCAUUAGAAUCUCACUAGACUCAGGGCUGUUUUAUUCCCUAUUUGUUUUGGGAUGGCCUGGCUGUAAAAGUAUCAGGCACUGGAAAGUGCCAGGGACCACAGGAGUUGGUGUGAAGGGCAGGGAGCUCAGCUGGUUGCCAGUCGGCUUCUCUUCUUACUCUGCCCUUAUGUAUCCAGCUGGUCUUCAGGCCUCAGUUCCUCUCACCAUAAAAUGAGGAAUCCAGAUUGUUUCAAAGGAUGGUGCUACCUGCUCUUAAUGUCAGCAAACUCAGAAUAAAAGGGAAGGAGGGUAGAUGGUGACAGGUUCCCCCAGAGUCAUAGCAGAAUUGUCCACUUGAGGUAGUGGCCUAAGGAAGGAUGAGAUUUUCCACCUUUGACAGAGAGAGCCUCUCUCCCCCUACUGCCCCAGGAUGAGCUCUGUUUGGGAUGUGAACUGAAUGAUCUCUUUGACCCCAAGAUGCUACUGCUGUCUAGAUAGAUAGGGCAGUAAACACUCAAGUUACACUAGGAGCCCAAAUGUCUGGAACCCCAGUCAUUCAUAUUCAUAGUCACCUAGAAAGUUGUCUGUGAUGUGCUUCUGUAUCUCUAAGUUGAUUCACACAGGACAUUAGCGUUGGCUCCAUCUCUGCCUCCCAUACUGCAGUCCAGGCAGGGACAAACUGCAAGUGCCACCCGCCAGCCCAGGCUCGGCCGGGCCCCUCCUCUCUAAGCAGCAAGACAACUCUCUCUUUUGGAAUGACCUGCUCUUGGGUCAAGACUCACAGGGUAAGUCUCAGGGCCAGUGUGCCCACCAGGAGGGCCUGGCUUGGGAGCCCCAGGCCAAGCCACGGGAGGCCACACCCACGGCCUCAGACACAGGAAAACAAAGUAAUGUGGGGUCUUUCGCCUUGAAAACCACAUACUCAAAGCUAAUCUAAUAAGGUAGGUUGAUAAGUUGUUUCAGAACAAGGAGAACCUAGGAUAAGUUACAGCACCAGAAACCUGCCAAAACCAGGACCUACAGCUAAACCAGAAAUAGCCUCAUUAACUCACUGUGUUCCCCUUUGUUUUUCAAGUGAAUUUUCUUCGCUCACAGAAGAUUUUACUACCGGAUAAUUUCUCCAACAUUGAUGUAUUAGAAGCAGAAGUGGAAAUUCUGGAAAUCCCUGCACUCACUGAAGCCGUAAGGUGGUACCGGAUGAACAUGGGUGGCUGUUCCCGGACCACCUGUUCUCCCCUGAGCCCCGGGAAGGGGGCCCGCACAGCCAGCCUGGAGUCCGUGAAACCGCUCUACACAAUGGCCCUGGGUCUGCUGGUCAAGUACCCGGACUCUGCGCUGGGCCAGCUUCGCAUCGAGAGCACGCUAGACGGAAGCCGACUGUACAUCACAGGGAAUGGCGUCCUCUUUCAGCACGUCAAGAACUGGCUGGGGACUUGCCGGCUGCCCCUGACAGAGACCAUUUCCGAGGUAUAUGAGCUCUGUGCCUUCCUAGACAAAAGGGACAUCACCUAUGAGCCAAUCAAAGUUGCUUUGAAGACUCAUCUGGAGCCAAGGACUUUGGCACCCAUGGAUGUGCUCAAUGAGUGGACGGCAGAGAUCACUGUGUAUUCCCCACAACAGAUCAUCAAAGUGUAUGUUGGAAGCCACUGGUACGCAACCACCCUGCAGACACUGCUGAAGUAUCCAGAACUGCUGUCCAACCCUCAGAGAGUGUACUGGAUCACAUAUGGACAAACCCUGCUCAUCCACGGGGAUGGCCAGAUGUUCCGACACAUUCUCAACUUCCUGAGACUUGGCAAACUGUUUUUACCAUCUGAAUUUAAGGAAUGGCCCCUCUUCUGCCAGGAGGUGGAGGAAUACCACAUUCCAUCCCUCUCAGAAGCCCUUGCACAAUGUGAAGCAUACAAGUCAUGGACUCAGGAGAAAGAAUCUGAAAAUGAAGAAGCUUUUUCCAUCAGGAGGCUGCAUGUGGUGACAGAAGGGCCAGGGUCACUGGUGGAGUUCAGUAGAGACACUAAAGAAACCACAGCCUACAUGCCUGUGGACUUCGAAGACUGCAGUGACAGGACUCCAUGGAACAAGGCUAAGGGAAACCUGGUCAGGUCCAACCAGAUGGAUGAGGCUGAGCAGUACACUCGGCCCAUCCAGGUGUCCCUAUGCCGAAAUGCCAAGAGGGCUGGCAACCCUAGCACAUACUCACACUGCCGUGGCUUGUGUACCAAUCCUGGACACUGGGGGAGCCACCCUGAGAGCCCCCCAAAGAAGAAAUGCACCACAAUCAACCUCACACAGAAAUCUGAAACCAAAGACCCUCCCGCCACUCCCAUGCAAAAACUCAUCUCCCUGGUGAGAGAAUGGGACAUGGUCAAUUGCAAACAGUGGGAAUUCCAGCCACUGACAGCCACACGGAGCAGCCCCUUGGAGGAGGCCACCCUGCAGCUCCCCUUGGGAAGCGAGGCUGCUUCCCAGCCCAGCACCUCAGCUGCCUGGAAAGCCCAUUCCACAGCCUCAGAGAAGGAUCCAGGACCACAGGCAGGGGCUGGAGCUGGAGCGAAAGACAAGGGGCCAGAGCCAACCUUCAAGCCAUACUUACCCCCAAAAAGAGCCGGCACCCUGAAGGACUGGAGCAAGCAGAGGACCAAGGAGAGAGAAAGCCCUGCCCCUGAGCAGCCUCUGCCCGAGGCCAGUGAGGUGGACAGCCUAGGGGUUAUCCUCAAAGUGACUCACCCCCCCGUGGUGGGCAGCGAUGGCUUCUGCACGUUCUUUGAGGACAGCAUCAUCUAUACCACGGAGAUGGACAACCUCAGGCACACACCACCCACAGCCAGUCCCCAGCCCCAAGAAGUGACUUUCCUGAGUUUCUCUCUGUCCUGGGAAGAGAUGUUUUAUGCACAGAAAUGUCACUGCUUCCUGGCUGACAUCAUCAUGGAUUCCAUCAGGCAAAAGGACCCCAAAGCCAUCACAGCCAAGGUGGUCUCCCUGGCCAAUCGGCUGUGGACCCUGCACAUCAGCCCCAAGCAGUUUGUGGUAGAUUUGCUGGCCAUCACCGGCUUCAAGGACGACCGGCACACCCAGGAGCGCCUGUACAGCUGGGUGGAGCUUACACUGCCCUUCGCCAGGAAAUAUGGCCGCUGCAUGGACCUGCUCAUCCAGAGGGGCCUGUCUAGGUCUGUCUCGUACUCCAUCCUGGGAAAGUACCUACAAGAGGACUAGGGUGCCCAGAGAUGCAGCCCCUCAUGCCCCACCCGCCAAGUCUCAUUUUAAUUGGAGAUAGCCCCAGAAUGCAUGUGCCCAUCAGAGGGUACAUAUCAGUCUAUUUUUUAUUAUAAACAAAUAAAAGAUUAAAUCAC